This 490-nucleotide ribosomal RNA is filed under the name uncultured bacterium. RNAcentral describes it as "partial 16S ribosomal RNA". It matches the Rfam family "Bacterial small subunit ribosomal RNA", at positions 30 to 507 of the family's 1533-position model. The record is from RNAcentral.
AUUGAACGCUGGCGGCAGGCCUAACACAUGCAAGUCGAACGGUAACAGGAAGAAUCUUGCUUCUUUGCUGAGGAGUGGCGGACGGGUGAGUAAUGUCUGCGAAACUGCCUGAUGGAGGGGGAUAACUACUGGAAACGGUCGCUAAUACCGCAUAACUUCGCAAGACCAAAGAGGGGGACCUUCAGGCCUCUUGCCAUCGGAUGUGCCCAGAUGGGAUUAGCUAGUAGGUGGGGUAACGGCUCACCUAGGCGACGAUCCCGAGCUGGUCUGAGAGGAUGACCAGCCACACUGGAAGUGAGGCAUGGUCCAGACACCUACAGGAGGCCGCAGUGCGGAAUAUUGCACAAUGGGCGAAAGCCUGAUGCAGCCAAGCCGCGUGUAUGAAGAAGGCCUUCGGGUUGUAAAAUACUUUCAGCGGGGAGGAAGGAAGUAAAGUUAAUACCUUUGCUCAUUGACGGUACCCGCAGAAGAAGCACCGGCUAACUCCGUG